RNAcentral lists this ribosomal RNA (544 nucleotides) under Salmonella enterica. Its description in RNAcentral is "bacterial SSU rRNA". It matches the Rfam family "Bacterial small subunit ribosomal RNA", at positions 108 to 648 of the family's 1533-position model. The record is from RNAcentral. Lineage: Bacteria; Pseudomonadati; Pseudomonadota; Gammaproteobacteria; Enterobacterales; Enterobacteriaceae.
GAGUAAUGUCUGGGAAACUGCCUGAUGGAGGGGGAUAACUACUGGAAACGGUGGCUAAUACCGCAUAACGUCGCAAGACCAAAGAGGGGGACCUUCGGGCCUCUUGCCAUCAGAUGUGCCCAGAUGGGAUUAGCUAGUUGGUGAGGUAACGGCUCACCAAGGCGACGAUCCCUAGCUGGUCUGAGAGGAUGACCAGCCACACUGGAACUGAGACACGGUCCAGACUCCUACGGGAGGCAGCAGUGGGGAAUAUUGCACAAUGGGCGCAAGCCUGAUGCAGCCAUGCCGCGUGUAUGAAGAAGGCCUUCGGGUUGUAAAGUACUUUCAGCGGGGAGGAAGGUGUUGUGGUUAAUAACCGCAGCAAUUGACGUUACCCGCAGAAGAAGCACCGGCUAACUCCGUGCCAGCAGCCGCGGUAAUACGGAGGGUGCAAGCGUUAAUCGGAAUUACUGGGCGUAAAGCGCACGCAGGCGGUCUGUCAAGUCGGAUGUGAAAUCCCCGGGCUCAACCUGGGAACUGCAUUCGAAACUGGCAGGCUUGAGUC